Molecule: ribosomal RNA, 481 nt
Filed under: uncultured bacterium
Lineage: Bacteria
Description: bacterial LSU rRNA
Rfam family: Bacterial large subunit ribosomal RNA
Source: RNAcentral
CACGUGAAAUCCUGUCUGAAGAUGGGGGGGACCAUCCUCCAAGGCUAAAUACUCGUAAUCGACCGAUAGCGAACAAGUACCGUGAGGGAAAGGCGAAAAGAACCCCGGGAGGGGAGUGAAAUAGAUCCUGAAACCGCAUGCAUACAAAAAGUCGGAGCCUCGAAAGGGGUGACGGCGUACCUUUUGUAUAAUGGGUCAGCGACUUACAUUCAGUGGCGAGGUUAACCGAAUAGGGUAGCCGAAGAGAAAUCGAGUCCGAAUAGGGCGUCUAGUCGCUGGGUGUAGACCCGAAACCAGGUGAUCUAUCCAUGGCCAGGAUGAAGGUGCGGUAACACGCACUGGAGGUCCGAACCGACUAGUGUUGCAAAACUAGCGGAUGAGCUGUGGAUAGGGGUGAAAGGCUAAAACAAACCUGGAGAUAGCUGGUUCUCUCCGAAAACUAUUUAGGUAGUGCCUCAAGUAUUACCGUCGGGGGUAGAGC